GCUCCCUGAUGUUAGCGGCGGACGGGUGAGUAACACGUGGGUAACCUGCCUGUAAGACUGGGAUAACUCCGGGAAACCGGGGCUAAUACCGGAUGCUUGUUUGAACCGCAUGGUUCAGACAUAAAAGGUGGCUUCGGCUACCACUUACAGAUGGACCCGCGGCGCAUUAGCUAGUUGGUGAGGUAACGGCUCACCAAGGCGACGAUGCGUAGCCGACCUGAGAGGGUGAUCGGCCACACUGGGACUGAGACACGGCCCAGACUCCUACGGGAGGCAGCAGUAGGGAAUCUUCCGCAAUGGACGAAAGUCUGACGGAGCAACGCCGCGUGAGUGAUGAAGGUUUUCGGAUCGUAAAGCUCUGUUGUUAGGGAAGAACAAGUGCCGUUCAAAUAGGGCGGCACCUUGACGGUACCUAACCAGAAAGCCACGGCUAACUACGUGCCAGCAGCCGCGGUAAUACGUAGGUGGCAAGCGUUGUCCGGAAUUAUUGGGCGUAAAGGGCUCGCAGGCGGUUUCUUAAGUCUGAUGUGAAAGCCCCCGGCUCAACCGGGGAGGGUCAUUGGAAACUGGGGAACUUGAGUGCAGAAGAGGAGAGUGGAAUUCCACGUGUAGCGGUGAAAUGCGUAGAGAUGUGGAGGAACACCAGUGGCGAAGGCGACUCUCUGGUCUGUAACUGACGCUGAGGAGCGAAAGCGUGGGGAGCGAACAGGAUUAGAUACCCUGGUAGUCCACGCCGUAAACGAUGAGUGCUAAGUGUUAGGGGGUUUCCGCCCCUUAGUGCUGCAGCUAACGCAUUAAGCACUCCGCCUGGGGAGUACGGUCGCAAGACUGAAACUCAAAGGAAUUGACGGGGGCCCGCACAAGCGGUGGAGCAUGUGGUUUAAUUCGAAGCAACGCGAAGAACCUUACCAGGUCUUGACAUCCUCUGACAAUCCUAGAGAUAGGACGU
This 949-nucleotide ribosomal RNA is filed under the name Bacillus sp. (in: firmicutes). RNAcentral describes it as "bacterial SSU rRNA". It matches the Rfam family "Bacterial small subunit ribosomal RNA", at positions 81 to 1014 of the family's 1533-position model. Lineage: Bacteria; Bacillati; Bacillota; Bacilli; Caryophanales; Bacillaceae. The record is from RNAcentral.